This 253-nucleotide ribosomal RNA is filed under the name uncultured bacterium. RNAcentral describes it as "partial 16S ribosomal RNA". It matches the Rfam family "Bacterial small subunit ribosomal RNA", at positions 524 to 776 of the family's 1533-position model. The record is from RNAcentral.
UACGAAGGGUGCAAGCGUUACUCGGAAUUACUGGGCGUAAAGCGUGCGUAGGUGGUUUGUUAAGUCUGAUGUGAAAGCCCUGGGCUCAACCUGGGAAUUGCAUUGGAUACUGGCAGGCUAGAGUGCGGUAGAGGAUGGCGGAAUUCCCGGUGUAGCAGUGAAAUGCGUAGAGAUCGGGAGGAACAUCUGUGGCGAAGGCGGCCAUCUGGACCAUUACUGACGCUGAGGCGCGAAAGCUAGGGGAGCAAACGGG